CUCCCAGAUGGUCUAUAGUUCUAUAGUAGGAACAGCAGUCUCGAACAAACGAACGUUGCCUACCACUGUGAACCAGGAGUCAGGGCUUCUAAUCACAAGGUUAGCAUCUCCACUGCCAUCAAUCACAUUGCUGUCGAAAUUAACUUGGAGGAAGAUCGAGGUUGGAGGCUUCUAAGAAAUAAAAACCCUCUGAAGCACUAUUAAAGCAGAAUGAGAAUCCCAGAUAUCCC
RNAcentral lists this long non-coding RNA (230 nucleotides) under Elaeis guineensis (African oil palm). RNAcentral describes it as "long non-coding RNA (EGUI_LNC013958)". The record is from RNAcentral. Lineage: Eukaryota; Viridiplantae; Streptophyta; Magnoliopsida; Arecales; Arecaceae.